CCCUCUUCCCCCCCAUUUAGGUAAUCUACCUUUUGAUUCCUCAUACCCAAGUGCAUAACCUUGCACUUCUUUGCAUUUGCCAGGUUUUCACCCACUCACUCAGUCUAUCCAUACCCUUUUGCAGAAUCACAAUGUACUCCUCAUCACAACAUGCCCUUUCUCCUAUUUUCAUAUCAUCAGAUUUGGAAGCCUUGCAUUUUGUUCUCUCCUCCAGGUCAUUAAUGUAAAUAAUAAACAAUUGAUGGCUAAGAACUGAUCCCCAGGGUACGCUGCUAGUGACAUCCUUCCAACCUGAAAAGUAUCUGUUUAUUCCAAUUCAUUUUUUUUAUGACAGCCACUUUUUCCAAUCCAUGCUAACACAUUUCUUCCAAUACCAUGGGCUCAUAAUUUAUGCACCAAAGUUUUUGUGUGCACCUUGUCAAAUGCCUUUUGGAAAUCUAAACACUACAUCUAGAAUUUUCCCUCUAUCAACCGUCCCUUUCACAUCCACAAAGAAUUUGAGCAAAUUUGUCAAACAUGAUUUGUCUUUCAUAAAACCAUGUUGACUAGGUUUGAUUUAUAUUCAACUUUCCUCUUUGACUCCAGCAUUUUGCCAACAAAUGUUAAACUAAUUGGCCUAUAGUUCCCUGCCUUCUGUCUUCCUCCCAUUUUGAACAAGGGAGUCAUAUUGGUUGUUUUCCAAUCUUCUGGUACCCUCCUGGAAUUAAGUGAAUUUUGAAAAAUUUCAAUCAAUGGGUACACUAUCUCUGCAGCCACCUCCUUUUAAAGCCUUUGGGAGCAGGCCAUCAGAUUCCGGUGACUGGUCUACCUUUAGCUCUGUGAAUUUCUCCAAUACUUUAUCCCUCCUGAUUGGGAUUUUUACAUGUUCAUCUUUUAUUUGAAAUUAGCCCAUCUGUUAUCUGAUACUAGCAGUACCCUCCAUGGUGAAGACUGAUGCAAAACAUUGAACAUGUAUGCCAUUUCUUUGUUUUAUCGUUAUUAAUUUGCAGGCCUCAUUUUCUAGAGGUCUCACGCCAAUCCUAGCUGCUGCCUUCCUAUUUACAUAUCAACAGAAACUCUGUUUGCUUUGACAAUAUACUCAAGUUUUCUCUCAAUCAAUUUUUCCCUCGUAAGCUGCUAGAUCCAAAAAAUGUUCCAAUCCUCCGACCUACUACCAGCCCUUACAACUUUGCAUGCCCUAUUUUUCAAUUUAACAUUAUCCUUGACCACCUUUGUUAACACAGAUUUUCUUUCUCAUGGAAUCUCUCUAAUCAGGAUAAAUUCCUGCUGAGUAUUAUGGAUUAGAUGUUUGAAUAUCUGCUGCUGUUCAUCUACUCUUAGAUGACCUCUCAUCUUAUUUUCCCAGUCCACCUUGGACAAUUCCAGCUUCAUUCCAUUAUAAUUGCCUUUAUUUAAGUUGAAGACAGUAAUUUUAAUCCUGUGAUGGUCACCCUCAAACUGCAUCUGGAAUUUUAUCUUGUGGUCACAACCUCCUAGAGGAUCUUUAACCAUGAGAUUUCAUUAUUACGCAUGUCUGUCUAAAACAUACUGUUCUAAGAAGCAAUCCCUGACUUACUCCAUGAAUCCUCCUACAAUAUCCUUGCCAUAUUGGUUUGUCCUAUCAAUAUGUAGAUUUUAAAAUCUCCCAUGACAAUUGCAGCUACCUUCAAACAUGCCCUAGAUAUUUCCCCAUUUAUGCUCUGCCCUAUCAAGAGGUCACAUUUUGGGGGCUUGUAUGCCCAACUGUGUCUUUCCCCUACUAUUCAUAGUUGCAACCCAAACAGAUUCUACAUUACCAUCCACUGCUGCCAUAUCAUGACUCAGCACUGUCCUGAUACCUUCCUGGAUUUACAGUGCUCCCCUAACUCCUUUCCCUUUUGGCUUGUUCUUUUGGAGGCUGUAAUAUUGAGCACCCAGUCCUGGUCAAUCUGCAACCACAUCUCCAUGUUACAUAUGGGGUCAUACUCACGCUGCUAUCUGUGCAGUCAAUUCAUCUUGUCUUAUUGCCAAUGCCAUGUGUGAUCAACUGAAGACUGUUAUAGAGGCUAAAGGUGUUCAUGCUGAAAAUGAAACCAUUUCUAAUUUUAAUACAUAGAGGUGUACCCAGUGUGAAUAGUCUCUUGUAACCUAACCCCUAACCUGGAGUUUCCUUCAGGCAGCAUUUGUAGAGCCAGCAGCUUUCAUUCAAUGCUGUGAAGUCCAGUGUGCCUUCACUCUAUAAAUCCCCCUCCUUCCCUCUUUCUUCCCCCCACCCGCCCCCCCCCCCCAAAGAAAUCAACAGGGCAUGUAGAAAAUGCAACAAAUUGCUGCCUUCACUCCUGUUGUGUUGCGAUUGAUAUGAUAUAGAUGAUAAACAUUUGAGUGGCAAAUGCCAUUCUCUUUGCCUCCCUCUUAAUUAUGUCCCCUGUUCUGGAAAAUGGUCUCAAUAGAAACAAAAGUGAAAGAGUGAUAGUUUAUAAUGAUGGGCCCAUCUUGUCUGAAGCUGAGAACCAGUCUGGUACAGUUUUCCGAUAAAUGUUGGGCAAUGGGAAAAAUCCAUUUGCAAAAACAGAUUAGCAGGAGAACAAAUUGUGAUAGGGCGAUCACAUUGCAAGAAAUGGCCCAGUCUGCUGCUGCUAGGUCUGGGACUGACUGUUGAUGGUUUUUGAGGAACAUCAUAAAACAUUACCUUGUCUCGGUCAUAGUAAUGAUCUGUAAGUAUCACAUAUGAAAAUGUCAUUUCUAAUGUUUAUCCUUCACUACCCCAUCCAAAGAGUCUUGUUUUGCAAGCAACAACAGUAUUGUAAAUCUACUGCAGAAGGAGAACUCCCAAACCCUGCAAACAUUUUGUGAUUCUGCUGCACAGACCAGUCUUUCAAAAUUACUUAGUUAUUAGUGGCAGGGAUGUGGAAAAACCCCUUUCUAUUUUAUACAUAAUGUUUAAAUAGGCUUCUGACUAAACUCCUUAUCCAGUGCUUGUAAAAUAAAAAGUGAAAGCUUGAAUUUUCUGGACUUCAGGUUCUGUGGAAGGGUCGCUGAGUUACUGACUUUAUAAGGAGUGGGCUGCAUUGGUUAUUUCUGGCUUUUCUGGAAGAAUUAUGACAUUUCUAUUUGCUGAUAAUGUUGUCUUGCUGGUGAAUUACCUGAGAAAUGAUAUACUUUACCUAUUACCUUGAUCAAUGAGUUAAUAUAUUAAAAGGAUCUCCUAAAAGUAGUUUUGCAUGCAUGAAAAGGACAUCUGUGAGAUAUUAAAUGGUUAAGGUUGUUAAUGUAAUUUAAGUGAACAUUUUUUAAAAAAAUGUAAAGGCCUGCUUGACUGUAGAAUUAAGACCCUAUAACACAUGCUAUUUAUAUGUAUCAAUAACUAAGCAAAUCAUUCCAAACUGAAAGUACUGAGCCAUACAAAGCCCUCAUGUUGUACCAGAAUUAUACAUUUGAUACAACCCAAUACAUACACUCUGAUCCCUUCAAGUUCAGUAGCCAGACUCUGAAAUGAAGAUGGUCACCUUAAAUUUACAGCUCAAACUUCCGGUUAACCAUCCAUUAAUUAUUUAUUCUUUAACAAAACCUUGGUUCACAUGGGAAAGACAGAAAAUAUCUAGGCGGCCUUGGUAUUUCAGGGUUUUUAAGUUCCCUGUUAUGUACCGUCUAUUCUGUUACAUAUAUACCAAGUCCUUCUUCUUUGAAGACACAAUUCAAAGGUUACUGGAAAGUACUGCUAAAGCUUCAGAACUCUUGAUUCUAACAUGUUUCUAAAUAAAGUAAUUCAAAUAUUGUACUACUAGAUGCUUCCUGUGAAUUUCUGCUUCUAUGUAUUUUAUUUCUUGUAAAUAAAUUUAGCUAUUAUGUUUAUCUGCAUUGAAAUAUUUAUUACUUGUCAAAGCAAAUGGGGAAGCAUGGGCAGCACAAUAACAAAAGUAAGCUUCUUGUUAUUUUACUUCAUGAUUGCUUGUUGUGACACUUUAUAGGGUUAAGAUCCCAAUCACUCUCACAAUGGUUACAGCGUGAAAGGAGGCCAUUUGGCUCAGAGUCCACAUUGGUUAUACUGUAUGUAAAAGCAAUCCAGCACUCAGGAUAUGUUCCCAGAAUGACAGCAUUAAUGGAAUCAGCACCAAAAGAGGUCAUUAAGAGGUACGGAAGCCUGAAGUCCCAGACCACCAGGUUCAAGAACAGCUACUUCCCUUCAAAUAUUCAUUUCUUGAACCAACCUGCACAACCCUAAUCUCUGCCUUGGUACAGCAACACUAUGACCACUUUGCACUACAAUGGACUUUAUGCAAGAAAGAACACAAUUAGAACAAAAUAAAAAUAAUGUUGUACAAGUUAUGUUAAUUAUGCUUUUCUUCUGAAUGUGUGUAUCAGAUGCCAUGUGUGGGUGAUGCUGCUGCAAGUAAAUUUUUCAUUGCACCUGUGCAUACAUGUACUCAUACAUAUGACAAUAAACUCGACUUUGUCUUU
This is a long non-coding RNA of Pristis pectinata (smalltooth sawfish), 4416 nucleotides long. RefSeq lists it as uncharacterized. Lineage: Eukaryota; Metazoa; Chordata; Chondrichthyes; Rhinopristiformes; Pristidae. The transcript has 2 exons. The record is from RefSeq and is a predicted model, not a curated record.